This 723-nucleotide ribosomal RNA is filed under the name uncultured fungus. RNAcentral's name for it is "bacterial SSU rRNA". It matches the Rfam family "Eukaryotic small subunit ribosomal RNA", at positions 828 to 1570 of the family's 1831-position model. The record is from RNAcentral. Lineage: Eukaryota; Fungi.
CUUUGGUUCUAUUUUGUUGGUUUCUAGGACCGAAGUAAUGAUUAAUAGGGACAGUUGGGGGCAUUUGUAUUUCAGAGUCAGAAGGUGAAAUUCUUGGGAUUUCUGAAAGACAAACUACUGCGAAAGCAUUUGCCCAAGGAUGUUUUCAUUAACCAAGCACGAAAGUCAGGGGAUCAAAAAUGAUUAGAUACCGUUGUAGUCUUGACCAUAAACUAUGCCGACUCGGAAUCGGUGAAACGUAAUUAACGCGUUCAUCGGCGCCGUAUGAGAUAUCAAAGUUUUUGGGUUACGGGGUGGAGUACAUUCGCAAGGCUGAAACUUAAAGAAAUUGACGGAAGAACACCACCAGAUGUGGAACCUGCGGCUUAAUUUGACUCAACACGGGAAAACUUACCAGGUCCAGACUUAAUAAGGAUUGACAGAUUGAGAGCUCUUUCUUGAUUUUGAGGAUGGUGGUGCAUGGCCGUUCUUAGUUGGUGGAGUGAUUUGUCUGCUUAAUUGCGAUAACGAACGAGACCUUUUCCUGCUAAAUAGAACUACUUAGUUUUACUAAGUAUGUUCUUCUUAGAGGGACUUUUGACGUUUAGUCAUAGGAAGCUUGAGGCAAUAACAGGUCUGUGAUACCCUUAGAUGUUCUGGGCCGCACGCGCGUUACACUGAUGAAGUCAGCGAGUAUUCUCCUUGGCCGAAAGGUCUGGGUAAUCUUUUGAAACUUCAUCGUGC